GAUGAACGCUGGCGGCGUGCCUAAUACAUGCAAGUCGAGCGCACGGACGAGAAGCUUGCUUCUCUGAUGUUAGCGGCGGACGGGUGAGUAACGCGUGGAUAACCUACCUAUUAGACUGGGAUAACUUCGGGAAACCGGAGCUAAUACCGGAUAAUAUUUUGAACCGCAUGGUUCAUAAGUGAAAGACGGUAUUGCUGCCACUCAUAGAUGGCUCCGCGUUUCAUUAGCUAGUUGGUAAGGUAACGGCUUACUAAGGCAACGAUGCAUAGCCGACCUGAGAGGGGGUUCGGCCACACGGGAACUGAGACACGGUCCGAACUCCUACGGGAGGCAGCAGAAGGGAAUCUUCGGCAAUGGGCGAAAGCCUGACGGAGCAACGCGGCGUGAGUGAGGAAGGUCUUCGGAUCUUAAGACUCUGUUAUAAGGGAAGAACAGAGGUGUAGGGGACUGUGCACAUCGUGACGGUACCUAAUCAGAAAGCCACGGCUAACUACGUG
This 497-nucleotide ribosomal RNA is filed under the name uncultured bacterium. Its description in RNAcentral is "partial 16S ribosomal RNA". It matches the Rfam family "Bacterial small subunit ribosomal RNA", at positions 28 to 507 of the family's 1533-position model. The record is from RNAcentral.